Molecule: ribosomal RNA, 253 nt
Filed under: uncultured bacterium
Lineage: Bacteria
Description: partial 16S ribosomal RNA
Rfam family: Bacterial small subunit ribosomal RNA
Source: RNAcentral
GACGUAGGGGGCCAGCGUUGUUCGGAAUUACUGGGUGUAAAGGGUUCGUAGGCGGUGUGGCAAGUCGGGAGUGAAAUCUCUGGGCUCAACUCAGAGACUGCUUCCGAAACUGCUGUGCUGGAGUGUGGGAGAGGCGCGUGGAAUUGCAGGUGUAGCGGUGAAAUGCGUAGAUAUCAAGUGGAACACCAGUGGCGAAGGCGAGUCCCUGGACAUCUCCUGACACUGAGGCACGAAAGCUAGGGGAGCAAACAGG